RNAcentral lists this unclassified non-coding RNA (315 nucleotides) under plant metagenome. RNAcentral describes it as "partial contains 5.8S ribosomal RNA, internal transcribed spacer 2, and large subunit ribosomal RNA". The stretch from base 1 to 104 matches the Rfam family "5.8S ribosomal RNA", at positions 51 to 154 of the family's 154-position model. The record is from RNAcentral.
AAAUGCGAUAACUAGUGUGAAUUGCAGAAUUCCGUGAAUCAUCGAGUCUUUGAACGCACAUUGCGCCCCCUGGUAUUCCGGGGGGCAUGCCUGCCCGAGCGUCAUUGCUGCCCAUCAAGCACGGCUUGUGUGUUGGGUCGUCGUCCCCUCUCCGGGGGGGACGGGCCCCAAAGGCAGCGGCUGCACCGCGUCCGAUCCUCGAGCGUAUGGGGCUUUGUCACCCGCUCUGUAGGCCCGGCCGGCGCUUGCCGAACGCAAAUCAAUCUUUUUCCAGGUUGACCUCGGAUCAGGUAGGGAUACCCGCUGAACUUAAGC